Molecule: ribosomal RNA, 368 nt
Filed under: uncultured bacterium
Lineage: Bacteria
Description: bacterial SSU rRNA
Rfam family: Bacterial small subunit ribosomal RNA
Source: RNAcentral
GACGAACGCUGGCGGCGUGCUUAACACAUGCAAGUCGAGCGGUAGGGCCCUUUCGGGGGUACACGAGCGGCGAACGGGUGAGUAACACGUGGGUGACCUGCCCUCCAGCUCUGGGAUAAGCCUGGGAAACCGGGUCUAAUACUGGAUAUGACUCCAUGACGCAUGUUGUGGGGUGGAAAGCCUUGUGCGGCUGAGGAUGGGCCCGCGGCCUAUCAGCUUGUUGGUGGGGUGAUGGCCUACCAAGGCGACGACGGGUAGCCGGCCUGAGAGGGCGACCGGCCACACUGGGACUGAGACACGGCCCAGACUCCUACGGGAGGCAGCAGUGGGGAAUCUUGCGCAAUGGGCGAAAGCCUGACGCAGCGACG